Molecule: transfer RNA, 75 nt
Filed under: Deltaproteobacteria bacterium
Lineage: Bacteria; Pseudomonadati; Myxococcota; Myxococcia
Also listed under: 1 other name
Description: tRNA-Thr
Rfam family: tRNA
About the family: Transfer RNA (tRNA) molecules are approximately 80 nucleotides in length.
Source: RNAcentral
GCCUGCGUAGCUCAGUGGUAGAGCACUUCCUUGGUAAGGAAGAGGUCGUCGGUUCAAGCCCGAUCGCAGGCUCCA